AGAUUAAGUUAUUAAGGGCGCACGGUGGAUGCCUUGGCACUAGAAGCCGAUGAAGGACGUUACUAACGACGAUAUGCUUUGGGGAGCUGUAAGUAAGCUUUGAUCCAGAGAUUUCCGAAUGGGGAAACCCAGCACGAGUUAUGUCGUGUUAUCUGCAUGUGAAUACAUAGCAUCCAAGAAGGCAGACCCGGAGAACUGAAACAUCUUAGUACCCGGAGGAAGAGAAAGAAAAAUCGAUUCCCUGAGUAGCGGCGAGCGAAACGGGAAGAGCCCAAACCAAUAAGCUUGCUUAUUGGGGUUGUAGGACACUCUGUACGGAGUUACAAAAGAAUUUGUUAGACGAAUAACCUGGAAAGGUUAAUCAGAGAAGGUAAUAAUCCUGUAGUCGAAA
RNAcentral lists this ribosomal RNA (391 nucleotides) under Staphylococcus pseudintermedius. RNAcentral's name for it is "partial 23S ribosomal RNA". It matches the Rfam family "Bacterial large subunit ribosomal RNA", at positions 1 to 384 of the family's 2925-position model. Lineage: Bacteria; Bacillati; Bacillota; Bacilli; Caryophanales; Staphylococcaceae. The record is from RNAcentral.